UACGAAGGGUGCAAGCGUUAAUCGGAAUUACUGGGCGUAAAGCGCGCGUAGGUGGUUCAGUAAGUUGGAAGUGAAAUCCCCGGGCUCAACCUGGGAACUGCUUUCAAAACUGCUGAGCUAGAGUAAGGUAGAGGGUGGUGGAAUUUCCUGUGUAGCGGUGAAAUGCGUAGAUAUAGGAAGGAACACCAGUGGCGAAGGCGACCACCUGGACUGAUACUGACACUGAGGUGCGAAAGCGUGGGGAGCAAACAGG
RNAcentral lists this ribosomal RNA (253 nucleotides) under uncultured bacterium. RNAcentral's name for it is "partial 16S ribosomal RNA". It matches the Rfam family "Bacterial small subunit ribosomal RNA", at positions 524 to 776 of the family's 1533-position model. The record is from RNAcentral.